Non-coding RNA from Nicotiana sylvestris (wood tobacco), 78 nucleotides. Lineage: Eukaryota; Viridiplantae; Streptophyta; Magnoliopsida; Solanales; Solanaceae. The record is from Rfam.
GUAAUGAGCAUUGUUACAUGUAGCACUGGCUCGCAUAAAUAUUUACCAGCCCGUGCUCAUGUGACAAUCCCCUUUGCU